UUAAGAGCUGUGCUAAGGUAGCGUAGUAAGUUGUCCUUUAAAUGGGGAAAGGAAUGAAUGGUUUGACGUGAGAAUUUCUGUCUCUAGUGGAAUAGAAAAAAUUUUCUUCUCGGUGAAAAGCCCGAGAUUAAAUUAAAAGACGAGAAGACCCUUUCGAGCUUGAUAAAGUGGAAAAGUUGUUUUUUACAGAAGUUUGGUUGGGGCAACUAAGGAGCAAACGAAGACUCCUUGAAGGUUUAUAGAUCCAAAAGUUUUGAAGAAAGAAAAAGCUACCGUAGGGAUAACAGCGUUAUCCUCUCUGAGAGAACAAAUUGAAGGGGGGGUUUGCGACCUCGAUGUUGAAUUAAGGUUUCCGUUUGGCGUAGAG
RNAcentral lists this ribosomal RNA (367 nucleotides) under Galeommatoidea sp. MN24148. RNAcentral's name for it is "partial 16S ribosomal RNA". It matches the Rfam family "Archaeal large subunit ribosomal RNA", at positions 2001 to 2629 of the family's 2987-position model. Lineage: Eukaryota; Metazoa; Mollusca; Bivalvia; Galeommatida. The record is from RNAcentral.